GGCCAAUAGGCAUCCCCAGCCUUGAUCUCACACAAACUAUACAGAUCAUGCCAGGCUUCUGAGUAUGUCUUACGAAUCUGGGCAAUCCUCCGAAAGAAGGGCAUGGGCUGCUUCUCAUUGUCGGGGAGAGAGGUUACUAGGGUAGCAGCUUGGGAUGGGUUGAACGUGACAUACAUCGGGGAGCCCCGUCCACUAGUGGUAAAGCAGGGGUUACUUGUCUCUGGGAAACCCUAUUAUUUGAAGGGCAGAAUGGGCUAAUCCCUUGCACAUUGUCAUCCUUGGGGGGAACCGAGAAUGGGAGACCAUGGUAGCUAGCAACAUCUGGUGAAUUAGGGGCUUGAGCAUCGGAGCUGGGAGUACUGACAGCGAUGGCCUCGGGAGUAACUGUUACGGCUCCCCUGGUCUGCGAGGGGUUACAGCCGUAUGAGACGUUCCCUUAACGAAUGCAGAGGCAGCCACUGAGUGCUACAAAGCACCGAACAGUAGCCGUACGGAUGAAGUAGUUUCCCAAGUAACCGAACAGUAGAUAUACGAACACACUAUUUCUCCCAAACAGCCGAACAGCCACCAUGCGAAUCAAAUAUUCCUCCAAACAGCGGAACACGCUUACUCCAUACGAAUAAUGCCCCCAAAGACGAGACACAGCUCCGUACUGAGGGUUAGCAGGAAUCUGUUUAAUGAGGGCUACAUGCCCGGCUUUUAUGCAAGUCCCCCACCUGGUGGACACUCCCCUAGGGGACCCAAUGGGGGACUGUGACAAGCACAAUGUAUUAACCAAUCACAGGAGACUUAAUAAGCCAUUCCUCUUUUCUUGCCCAGAACCCCCUGCUCUGCCCGGGAAGAUAAUUGUGAAGUAAUUCAAUUAUCUCCCAGGACAGAGCCUAAACGCCAUUUUGAGGACUAAUAACAAAAAUACAUAAAAUUACAUAACUGUUGCAUUUUACACGAUUUUAUAGGCAUUCCACAGGUCCCCAGAUAGCUAGGAUCUGAGCGCACCAAAGUACCAAAUAGCGCUCAGAUCCUAUACACACAGUCCAAUCGCCGUGGAGCCAGUGUUCACACAGUCCGUUUUCAAGAAUGGGCUCUACGGGAUUCCUAUCUGGGGUACGGUGUAUUCCGUUUAAAUCCACCGAAUAUAGGGUCAUUCGUGCCAAUCUACCGAACAAGAAGGGAGCUCGGCGGCUUCAGCGGUGUUCGUGCCAAAAAG
Non-coding RNA from Pelobates cultripes (western spadefoot toad), 1207 nucleotides. The record is from the annotation of a GenBank genome assembly. NCBI's taxonomy places the organism in Eukaryota, Metazoa, Chordata, Amphibia, Anura, Pelobatidae.